AGAGUUUGAUCAUGGCUCAGAUUGAACGCUGGCGGCAUGCUUUACACAUGCAAGUCGAACGGCAGCGCGGGGGCAACCCUGGCGGCGAGUGGCGAACGGGUGAGUAAUGUAUCGGAACGUAUCCUGUAAUGGGGGAUAACCAGUCGAAAGAUUGGGUAAUACCGCAUACGCACGAGAGUGGAAAGUAGGGGAUCGCAAGACCUUACGUUAUAGGAGCGGCCGAUAUCUGAUUAGCUAGUUGGUGGGGUAAAGGCCUACCAAGGCGACGAUCAGUAGCUGGUCUGAGAGGAUGAUCAGCCACACUGGGACUGAGACACGGCCCAGACUCCUACGGGAGGCAGCAGUGGGGAAUUUUGGACAAUGGGCGAAAGCCUGAUCCAGCCAUGCCGCGUGCGGGAAGAAGGCCUUCGGGUUGUAAACCGCUUUAGUCUAGGAAAAAGGGGUGCGAGGUUAAUACCCUCGUGCUUUGAUGGUACUGGAAGAAUAAGCACCGGCUAACUACGUG
RNAcentral lists this ribosomal RNA (505 nucleotides) under uncultured bacterium. Its description in RNAcentral is "bacterial SSU rRNA". It matches the Rfam family "Bacterial small subunit ribosomal RNA", at positions 8 to 507 of the family's 1533-position model. The record is from RNAcentral.